This 497-nucleotide ribosomal RNA is filed under the name uncultured bacterium. RNAcentral describes it as "partial 16S ribosomal RNA". It matches the Rfam family "Bacterial small subunit ribosomal RNA", at positions 28 to 507 of the family's 1533-position model. The record is from RNAcentral.
GAUGAACGCUGGCGGCGUGCCUAAUACAUGCAAGUCGAGCGAACGGACGAGAAGCUUGCUUCUCUGAUGUUAGCGGCGGACGGGUGAGUAACACGUGGAUAACCUACCUAUAAGACUGGGAUAACUUCGGGAAACCGGAGCUAAUACCGGAUAAUAUUUUGUACCGCAUGGUUCAAAAGUGAAAGACGGUCUUGCUGUCACUUAUAGAUGGAUCCGCGCUGCAUUAGCUAGUUGGUAAGGUAACGGCUUACCAAGGCAACGAUGCAUAGCCGACCUGAGAGGGUGAUAGGCCACACUGGAACUGAGACACGGUCCAGACUCCUACGGGAGGCAGCAGUAGGGAAUCUUCCGCAAUGGGCGAAAGCCUGACGGAGCAACGCCGCGUGAGUGAUGAAGGUCUUCGGAUCGUAAAACUCUGUUAUUAGGGAAGAACAUAUGUGUAAGUAACUGUGCACAUCUUGACGGUACCUAAUCAGAAAGCCACGGCUAACUACGUG